GGCGGGGUAGCUCAGUUGGUGAGAGCGCAGGAUUCAUAACCCUGAGGUCGGCGGUUCAAGCCCGCCCCCCGCUACCA
RNAcentral lists this transfer RNA (77 nucleotides) under Amphiplicatus metriothermophilus. RNAcentral's name for it is "tRNA-Met". It matches the Rfam family "tRNA". From Rfam's summary of the family: Transfer RNA (tRNA) molecules are approximately 80 nucleotides in length. Their secondary structure includes four short double-helical elements and three loops (D, anti-codon, and T loops). RNAcentral also lists the same sequence under 4 other names. Lineage: Bacteria; Pseudomonadati; Pseudomonadota; Alphaproteobacteria; Parvularculales; Parvularculaceae. The record is from RNAcentral.